This 378-nucleotide ribosomal RNA is filed under the name uncultured organism. RNAcentral's name for it is "bacterial SSU rRNA". It matches the Rfam family "Bacterial small subunit ribosomal RNA", at positions 526 to 896 of the family's 1533-position model. The record is from RNAcentral.
CAGAGACCUCAAGCGUUAUCCGGAAUCAUUGGGCGUAAAGCGUACCGAUAGGUGGUUUAUUAAGUCUUGGGUAAAAGCCGGAAGCUCAACUUCCGCGUUUGCUUAAGAUACUAAUAGACUAGAGGGGCAAAGAGGAGAUUGGAACGAGCGGUGUAGUAGUGAAAUGCGUUGAUAUCGUUCGGAACACCGAAAGCGAAGGCAGAUCUCUGGGUGCCACCUGACACUGCUAGGACGAAAGCGUGGGGAGCGAAUGGGAUUAGAUACCCCAGUAGUCCACGCUGUAAACGAUGAAUGCUAGGCAUACGCGAGUAUCGACCCUCGUAUGUGCCGCAGCUAACGCGAUAAGCAUUCCGCCUGGGGAGUACGGUCGCAAGACUA